Molecule: ribosomal RNA, 252 nt
Filed under: uncultured Pseudomonas sp.
Lineage: Bacteria; Pseudomonadati; Pseudomonadota; Gammaproteobacteria; Pseudomonadales; Pseudomonadaceae
Description: partial 16S ribosomal RNA
Rfam family: Bacterial small subunit ribosomal RNA
Source: RNAcentral
CGGACGGGUGAGUAAUGCCUAGGAAUCUGCCUGGUAGUGGGGGACAACGUUUCGAAAGGAACGCUAAUACCGCAUACGUCCUACGGGAGAAAGCAGGGGACCUUCGGGCCUUGCGCUAUCAGAUGAGCCUAGGUCGGAUUAGCUAGUUGGUGAGGUAAUGGCUCACCAAGGCGACGAUCCGUAACUGGUCUGAGAGGAUGAUCAGUCACACUGGAACUGAGACACGGUCCAGACUCCACGGGAGGCAGCAGU